GCCUCGCCGCGGGCCUCAGCCGGCCCUCCGGUCGUCCUCUCCCGCGGGGCUCCGGCUCCUCACGGCGGGAACCACGUCGCUGGUGGGCGGAGCCAGCCGGGUCACCGAGGUCGGGGGGCGGGCUGACUUGGAGGGUAGCGGGAACGGAAAGGAAAGCGAAACAGAGACUGAGCCAGGGAACCCGCUUUUCCUCCUCCUCUUCCUCUGGCGUUAUCAUCUACCUCGCCAGCAUCCCGGACAACUACCUACACCACCUACUCUCAAGCCUCGCGAGACUGCUAGUUGGUUCACAGAGUUCUGUCACUUCAACACUUGUGCUCCCGUACUUGAGUCACAUUUUUCCGGAGGAGCUCCAGCCACAAGGCCGCUGGCACGUCAAGCUGGGACACACUGAGCAGAUUUAAGAGCCGGCGUUUACCUUUGAGCUGCAGUGUAUCACUAGCCCUCAGUGAAUGCUUUUCCUCUGCUUCACAAACUUUUAAUCUUCCUACUUAAAAGAAGGCGUGGAGGAUGUAGCCCGGUGGUAGAGCAUUUGCCUAGCAUGCAAGAGGCCCUGAACGUGUGCUCCAGCUCUGCAAAAAAUAAAAUUAAGUACAUCAUUGAUUCUUUUGAUGAACUUUGAUUCUCAUACCUAGCUUCCAUGUGAGACAGAGUCACAGUCACACAGCAGGCCU
This 674-nucleotide long non-coding RNA is filed under the name Chinchilla lanigera (long-tailed chinchilla). RNAcentral describes it as "lncRNA (ENSCLAG00000026575.1)". Lineage: Eukaryota; Metazoa; Chordata; Mammalia; Rodentia; Chinchillidae. The record is from RNAcentral.